RNAcentral lists this ribosomal RNA (309 nucleotides) under uncultured archaeon. Its description in RNAcentral is "bacterial SSU rRNA". It matches the Rfam family "Archaeal small subunit ribosomal RNA", at positions 526 to 834 of the family's 1478-position model. The record is from RNAcentral.
UGGCUUGGAAAAUCCUUUGUGAAAUCUUGGGGCCUAACCUCAAGGCGGGCAGGGGACACUUCCAGGCUCGGAACCGGGAGGAGCUAGGGGUAUGCCAAGGGGAGCGGUAAAAUGCUGUAAUCCUUGGUGGACCACCUGUGGCGAAGGCGCCUAGCUAGAACGGAUUCGACAGUGAGGGACGAAAGCUAGGGGAGCGAUCCGGAUUAGAUACCCGAGUAGUCCUAGCCGUAAACGCUGCGAGCAAGGCGUUGCAUGUUCCAUGAGAAUAUGCAGUGUCGAAACGAAGGUGUUAAGCUCGCCGCCUGGGAA